CAGAUGGUUGCUGCAAGGACUGAGAACAGUCAGUGCUUAGAGGAGCUGCCUAUGAGAAACUUUGAGGAGGAAGAGACCCUGCAGAGGAGGCAUCAUUCCUGGUCCUCCUCAAUGGCAUUCUGCAGAGCAGGAUGGACAGUCCUUCAGCCCUGAAGAAGAGCUCUUUGAGCUGCUUCCUGAGGACCCAAUCUCUUUGUGGCAGCAGAUGUGGGAUUGAUUGAAGAAGUCCUUUUGCUGGGUGGUGUUAGCUGUGGAAAACUUGAUGGAAAUGUUCUAGGGCACUCUUCAAUUGCAAAUAUGUGGUAGGAUUUAUGCAAUUGAUGCUGCCUAAUGCAGGGGCCACAGGAGAGCCUCAGAGCAGAGUGUUCCCAGGCUCUGGUAGGGCUGUGGUGAUGCCUCCUGUCAUGUUCUCACCAGGACUUGGACUUAGAGGUUAAACAUCUCAGCAGUGCAGAACAGAUCCAGGGCUGGCUUCAGCUUCUGCUGCAUCAUUCAUGAGUAUGGGAAAGCUCUGAAGAAUGUGACAGACUUUGGGUUAGGUCCUUAACACAGCAUUGCUCCUCCUGAGAUGAAAUGUGAGCAUCAUGUCCCUGUAAGAUAGGAGUGCACAGGCUGGGAACUGUGGGAUAAUGGCAUAAAUAAAGGAGAGGUGAAGUCUU
This is a long non-coding RNA of Zonotrichia leucophrys gambelii, 659 nucleotides long. RefSeq lists it as uncharacterized. The record is from RefSeq and is a predicted model, not a curated record. NCBI's taxonomy places the organism in Eukaryota, Metazoa, Chordata, Aves, Passeriformes, Passerellidae. The transcript has 2 exons.